Molecule: ribosomal RNA, 497 nt
Filed under: uncultured bacterium
Lineage: Bacteria
Description: partial 16S ribosomal RNA
Rfam family: Bacterial small subunit ribosomal RNA
Source: RNAcentral
GAUGAACGCUGGCGGCGUGCCUAAUACAUGCGAGUCGAGCGAACGGACGAGAAGCUUGCUUCUCUGAUGUUAGCGGCGGACGGGGGAGUAACACGUGGAUAACCUACCUAUAAGACUGGGAUAACUUCGGGAAACCGGAGCUAAUACCGGAUAAUAUUUUGAACCGCAUGGUUCAAAAGUGAAAGACGGUCUUGCUGUCACUUAUAGAUGGAUCCGCGCUGCAUUAGCUAGUUGGUAAGGUAACGGCUUACCAAGGCAACGAUGCAUAGCCGACCUGAGAGGGUGAUCGGCCACACUGGAACUGAGACACGGUCCAGACUCCUACGGGAGGCAGCAGUAGGGAAUCUUCCGCAAUGGGCGAAAGCCUGACGGAGCAACGCCGCGUGAGUGAUGAAGGUCUUCGGAUCGUAAAACUCUGUUAUCAGGGAAGAACAUAUGUGUAAGUAACUGUGCACAUCUUGACGGUACCUAAUCAGAAAGCCACGGCUAACUACGUG